UCACUGUGAUGAUGGUUUUCCAACAUUCGCAGUUUCCACCAGAAGGGUUUUCCUUAGUGUUGGGUAAAACCUUCCUUGGAUGUCUGAGUGA
Microcebus murinus (gray mouse lemur) is the source of this 91-nucleotide small nucleolar RNA. Its record names the gene SNORD14. It matches the Rfam family "Small nucleolar RNA SNORD14". Rfam says of the family: U14 small nucleolar RNA (U14 snoRNA) is required for early cleavages of eukaryotic precursor rRNAs. Lineage: Eukaryota; Metazoa; Chordata; Mammalia; Primates; Cheirogaleidae. The record is from Ensembl.